GUCGGUUUACAGGAAACGUACUUUUCGGCUGAACGACUGUGUAGAUGGCGUUGAUGUUAAUUUUGAAGAGGUAACGGUCGCUACAAAUUACUAAGUGUAAGUACAAUGAUCGAGCAAAUUUUUAUCAACAAAGAGAACUAAUUAAAGGGAUCAAUUUGUGAACUUUUGUAAUUGCGUUUCUAAAAUUUGAUCCUCGGUUUCCUCUCUGCAUUCUAAUAUCGCUGUGAAACGUACGAAUAAGGAUUUGGUAAUUUUAAUCGAUAGAUUAAAAAAAAGCAUUCGUUGAAGUGAUGUUUAAUUUCCUGGAACUACGUUCAAAGCUUGGAUCAAAAUUAGACGUGAAAAUACAUAGUUGAAACUAUAAGCAGGUUUACACCUGCAAAAGACUUGUGCCAGUCAGCUAUUAUUUUUCAUCACAUGGAACAGCGACAAUUUUCGGAGAGAAUGAUUCGAAAAAUGAUUUGUAUAGGUACAGGAAAAAUGGUAAACACUGAUGUUAGAUGUAUGUCGUUUAUUUAUUAUUGUAUUUAAUCGAUCCGAUCGCAGAUAUAGUUUUUUCAUUCAUUAUAUUUUAUCUUCCAUAAGUUAUUAAUUACAAGUAUUCAUCGUCAUCUAUAAUCUAAAAGGGUAUAGGGGGCAAAGUUAUAGAUAAUCUCUUUGUGAUUAAUCUUUUGUUCUGUUCACAGUAUUGACUCUAUUACAUACGCUAAUCAGAUGGCUAAAGUGUUUGUAUCUACAAAUAUAUUUUAUAUUUAUUUUCUAUAUACAUAUACAUAUGUAUACACACACGCACGCGCGCAUACACACAGAGGCACACACCACACACAAACAUAUACAUACAUGCACGCACGCAAGCACGCACGCAUGCAUGCACGUACACACCACACGCGCGCGCACAUACACAUGUAAUUUGUAUAUGUGCAUAUCUAUAUAUACAUACGUUGGUUUGUAACGCAUCUUUGCACAUUCUUUUUCCCUUUCUCUAAAUUCUCUUAUUUCUUUGUUAUUUGAUUUUUAAUCAAGACAACGUGUAACUUGCGCUUCGUGCACAAGUGCAAGUACAACGUCACCCCCCCCCCUCCCCCCUUACACUUUCAAGCUACUUUUCCUCCGUUUCUUUUGCUUUUUCUAAUACCAACUUUAAAUUUACCUAUGUAUGUACUUAUGUACGUAUGGGUGUGUAGCGUGUAAGUAUGUUGAGGAGAAAAAACUAACGAUAAGUGGUGUUGCCACGAGUGAGGAUAGAUCCCGGUUUCUUUUCUUUUUUUUUCUUUUUUUAAACAGAGCUAGACUUGAUGUAUUUUUUUUCCAUUUUUCCUUUUUUUUUUUCUUUUUUUCAAACGAGAUAUUAAGAUUUAAGAGUAUAUAUUAGUGUACAUAGUAUCUGACUCUUGUUUGACACAUAUGAUUGAGGUCUCGAGCAAAUUUCUCUGCUGCUUAGCUCGCAUCUCACAGCCUAAAGGUGAUUUAAACCAGACGCGGCAACUGUUUACAACAGGUCGCGUCGCUACAUACGAUAAAUCUCCGACAAGUGCCGAGCUUGCAGGUGUGUAUGUGUAUAUAUAUAUAUAUAUAUUUUAUUUUUUCUCUCUGUUAAUAUGUCCUUUCUCACUUUACGCAUACGUGACGUAUAAGUAUGUACUUAUGUAUGUAUGUCCAUGUCCAUAUGGUCAGUUGUGCAUUUUCAAGUAAGUACAACAUAGUAAAAUAUUAAAGCGACAGCAGAAUACACUGCAAUACUGUUUGAUCUAUGAAAAAGAUGUUUCCCUUUCCUUUUGUUUCCUCUGAUUCAUUUUCUCAUUUUCUUUUCGUUAUUGAAAA
Molecule: long non-coding RNA, 1821 nt
Organism: Frieseomelitta varia
Lineage: Eukaryota; Metazoa; Arthropoda; Insecta; Hymenoptera; Apidae
Exons: 2
Source: RefSeq, a predicted model, not a curated record